UGGUGGUGUCCCGGUGCCUUUAGGGGCCAGAGUCCCCGUGCUGCUCACUCUCAAGCGAGCAGCUCCGUGAGGAGGUAGCAGCUUCCCUGGGUGCCUGUAGCUUUGUCUCCGUGAGUGGGUACAGAGAUGGCGGAGGAGCAGGACCAGAAGGCCCACUCCCAAGCUGAUAAAAGACUGCCGAGUGUGCGGGAACAGCGCCAGGUGGGUCGCAGGCCGCAGCAAGCUGUGCUGCCAGGCAGACAGAGUCAGGAUUUGUCUGUUCGUGGGAACCAUCUUCCACAGGUGCCCCACCCGGUGAGAGCACAAGCCUCUGGGAGCCGCCGUGCACAGGCGGACAGACCACAAGGGAGACAGUCUCUGCCAGCCUUGCCACCUCUCCCACGGCGGGUGGUGUCACUGCCAGCUGCGCCCCAGAACGCAGCCACUGCUCGGGGACGAGUUCCCACAUUCUAUUCACUGCCAGCAAUAGCCUCCAGGAGUUUUCCAAGAGGCAGAGCUGCCAGUGCUGUUGGAGCUACCAGCAGCAGAGUGGCUGCCCCUGGUCUUCAGGGCAACCCUCAGCACCAGGACAUGGCAGUGAGGGCCGAGGGCUGGCAGGCAGAUCUGUGUGGCCCUGCACUCCCACUCAAGCCUGCAGAGAGGACACCCAAGUCCCUCAGGUUGGCAUACUGGGUGCGUCUGGGAGCCACACGACCAGGAGCCUGCCUGAAGCAAGCACGGCCUGGGCGACGUGCACCCACCAGCACUGUGAGACCACCAGCAGGAACAACCCAGGUGCUGGCCCCCAAGGCUGGGAAAGGCCCUGAGGAUGAGACGCGACAUGCUGCCAGUGCUCAGGAGGACAGCGGAGAUGCUCACAGGGUCUCUACAUCACGCUCCCUGGCAGCAGAGCAGGCAGCAGAGAAGGAAGCAGAGCAGGCAGCAGAGCUGGCAGCAGACAAUGGUGCCAAAGGUGCUGGCACUUCUCAGGCCAUGCUGGAUGCCAAGAGCAGCAAAGAGAGGGCCCACUCAGCCAUGAGUGGGGGCAGCUUCCUGCCCUGCUGUCUUUGCUGUUCCACCUGCAGUGCUGUUCUGACAGAUCAGCAGGAAGAAAAGAAAGACAUCACUGAGAGAGACACUGUGGCAGUGGCAGGCAAGGAGCCUGUGAGCACAUCAUUGCCUGGGGCAGAGUCCCUGGCUCCAGUGUCUCCAGUGCCUGGAAAACUUCAGCACGAGAUGAGCAAGGCACAGGUGAACAAGCUAGAGAUCAGGGACACAUUCACCCACAGCAGCAUCUCAGGGGAGGAGAGACAGCCUUUGCCAACUUGUGGACCAUCCCUGUGUAUCCCUGCACCCCCUCUCAAGCCUGCACACGCCACACGCAAAUUCUACAACUUGGCAUACAAAAGGCAUCCCUUAGCCAGCAGACCAGGAACCUACCAGAAACCAGCAGGUCUAAGGCAGCGUGCACCCACCAGCACUGAGGAAACAUCAGCACAAGCAACGCAGUUGCUGGCCCCCCAGGUUGGGAGCAGCCUCACACGUCAGACACCACCUGCUCCCAGUGCUCAGGAGGACACCGGAGAUGCUGUCAAGGACCCUUCAUCACAUUCCCUGGUGUCAGAGUGGGCAGCAGAACAUGGUGCAAGAGCUGCUGGCACUCCUCAGGACAUGCUGGAUGACAAGGAUGAUGAAGAAAGGGCAUGGUCUGACAAGAGAGAGAACACGUCCUACUGUCUUUGCUGCUCUACCUGCAAUAAUCUGAUGGAUGAGGAUGAGUAGGAGAUGUCAGCCCUGUGGCAGAGGCUGCUAGAGGCCCGGUGAGCACACCAUCUGGGGAGGCGCAGUCCUGGCCUCCAGCUUCUGCCAUGUCUGCAGGUGCCAGGCAUGAGGGGCACUUUGUCCUUAGCUCCUCCUUGUCACCAGAGGAUGCUCUGUCUUUGGACACUGAACGCCAAGAAUGAAACACCCUGGUCACUCUGAUGCUGGAGGCAACAAGCUUCAUGGCCUCCUCUGCUCUCUGUUCUUGAGCUUACAUUCACUCAAGCCUCUGUCCUCCAGCUUCUAUCAGCUCAAGUCACUUGAGAGGCCUUUCUCAUGAUGUAGAAAAGCAGUUCUCGUGAUUCAAUACCCAUGCAGAUUUCCUGUUCUCCACAGCUGUUUAUCAUGUCAGGUACAACUUCUGCCAAGCAGCUCUUCCUUCUUCAUCACUGCAUCAUUUCAUCACCUUUACGUUUAGCGAGAUAAGAAGAAAGGGAUCUGUGCCUGAGGAGAAGCUUGGCUUUUCUGUUUGUGUACAAAUUGCUUCUCACCUAGCAUUUAGAAGACCAUUCAGUACAGGGAUUCCUAAUUUGGCUAAAUCUGGCUUUUUAAUCUGGAACUGAAAAAGCAGUACGUAUUCUCUACAGCAGAGAUAAUAUACUUUGCUUUCUCUGUUUUGAUUUCGGUUUCCAAAAGUACAAUAAAAGUAUUUAGUUUCAUUUUACUUUUUUCUGU
RNAcentral lists this long non-coding RNA (2475 nucleotides) under Coturnix japonica (Japanese quail). RNAcentral's name for it is "lncRNA (ENSCJPG00005003654.1)". Lineage: Eukaryota; Metazoa; Chordata; Aves; Galliformes; Phasianidae. The record is from RNAcentral.